Molecule: ribosomal RNA, 492 nt
Filed under: uncultured bacterium
Lineage: Bacteria
Description: partial 16S ribosomal RNA
Rfam family: Bacterial small subunit ribosomal RNA
Source: RNAcentral
AGCGAACGCUGGCGGUAGGCCUAACACAUGCAAGUCGAACGGCAGCACAGUAAGAGCUUGCUCUUACGGGUGGCGAGUGGCGGACGGGUGAGGAAUACAUCGGAAUCUACUUUUUCGUGGGGGAUAACGUAGGGAAACUUACGCUAAUACCGCAUACGACCUACGGGUGAAAGCAGGGGAUCUUCGGACCUUGCGCGAAUGAAUGAGCCGAUGUCGGAUUAGCUAGUUGGCGGGGUAAAGGCCCACCAAGGCGACGAUCCGUAGCUGGUCUGAGAGGAUGGUCGGCCACACUGGAACUGAGACACGGUCCAGACUCCUACGGGAGGCCGCAGUGGGGAAUAUUGGACAAUGGGCGCAAGCCUGAUCCAGCCAUACCGCGUGGGUGAAGAAGGCCUUCGGGUUGUAAAGCCCUUUUGUUGGGAAAGAAAAGCAGCAGGUUAAUACCCCGCUGUUCUGACGGUACCCAAAGAAUAAGCACCGGCUAACUUCGUG